Molecule: long non-coding RNA, 340 nt
Organism: Carassius auratus (goldfish)
Lineage: Eukaryota; Metazoa; Chordata; Actinopteri; Cypriniformes; Cyprinidae
Exons: 3
Source: RefSeq, a predicted model, not a curated record
CACUCAAUCCCAGCGCUCUUUGUGUGUGAGAGCUCACACACUCUCUCACAUAUAUGCAACUCUCUGAUUAAAGUGAGUGAAGCCGCAAGGACACAGACUAAGACUUGGAAAAUGAACCUCUUCUGCUUUACUUUGGAUGGUUCUACAGACAGCCUGUACGAGGCGGCUCAGAUUGGCCAGAACACUCAAGAUUUAUUACCCAGAAGGCUGCCCAGUCCCAACCCUGUGAAGAACAUUAGUGUGUGGAGUGGAUCUGAGCCCUGCAUCAACAUGAAGCUUCCAGAGACUCCCACAAGUAAGACUCAAGAAAAUAAGAUUUUGGAAAAGGCAAAGAGAAAGU